GAAAUGCGAUAAGUAGUGUGAAUUGCAGAAUUCAGUGAAUCAUCGUAUCUUUGAACGCACAUUGCGCCCCUUGGUAUUCCAUGGGGCAUGCCUGUUCGAGCGUCAUUUGUACCCUCAAGCUCUGCUUGGUGUUGGGUGUUUGUCCCGUCUCCGCGCGUGGACUCGCCCCAAAGUGAUUGGCAGCCGGCGUACUGGUCCCCGAGCGCAGCACAUGUCGCGCAAACGAGUGCCUUGGUACGGCGGCGUCCAUAAGCCCCUCUCUCACGCUCUUGACCUCGGAUCAGGUAGGGAUACCCGCUGAACUUAAGC
This 309-nucleotide unclassified non-coding RNA is filed under the name plant metagenome. RNAcentral's name for it is "partial contains 5.8S ribosomal RNA, internal transcribed spacer 2, and large subunit ribosomal RNA". The stretch from base 1 to 105 matches the Rfam family "5.8S ribosomal RNA", at positions 50 to 154 of the family's 154-position model. The record is from RNAcentral.